RNAcentral lists this ribosomal RNA (453 nucleotides) under Triticum aestivum (bread wheat). RNAcentral's name for it is "partial small subunit ribosomal RNA". The record is from RNAcentral. Lineage: Eukaryota; Viridiplantae; Streptophyta; Magnoliopsida; Poales; Poaceae.
AUGGCUUCCAACGCGAGCAUGUUGGCCAUGAUCAUGGCGUGCGCGCUCCUUCUCACCGGCAGCACCACGACGUGCCAUGCCGCUCGCCACUUGGCCGACACCACCCCGGCGGCUGCCCCACCCGCUGCGGCUGCUGUCCCUGGCCUCCCGGCCGUGCCGACCAUGCCGACGCUGCCACCGAUGCCGGCUGUGCCGACGGUGUCGUCCUUGACUGUGCCACCUAUGCCGACUGUGCCCACCAUGCCGCAGGUGACACUGCCGCCCAUGCCGGCUGUUCCUGCGGUGCCCAAGGUGACAAUGCCCCCAAUGCCCGCCAUCGUCGUGCCUAAGAAGGUGACGAUGCCACCGAUGCCCGCCAUUCCUUCCAUGCCCAAGAUGACGCUGGCGCCGAUGCCUUCUAUCCCGACCGCCAACGUGCCUAUGCCAUUCCUGGCGCCACCUCCAUCAACUUAG